GUGGUAUCCUGUCUGAAUAUGGGGGGACCAUCCUCCAAGGCUAAAUACUCCUGACUGACCGAUAGUGAACCAGUACCGUGAGGGAAAGGCGAAAAGAACCCCGGCGAGGGGAGUGAAAAAGAACCUGAAACCGUGUACGUACAAGCAGUGGGAGCACAGGUUUACCUGUGUGACUGCGUACCUUUUGUAUAAUGGGUCAGCGACUUAUAUUCUGUAGCAAGGUUAACCGCAUAGGGGAGCCGCAGGGAAACCGAGUCUUAACCGGGCGUUAAGUUGCAGGGUAUAGACCCGAAACCCGGUGAUCUAGCCAUGGGCAGGUUGAAGGUUGGGUAACACUAACUGGAGGACCGAACCGACUAAUGUUGAAAAAUUAGCGGAUGACCUGUGGCUGGGGGUGAAAGGCCAAUCAAACCGGGAGAUAGCUGGUUCUCCCCGAAAGCUAUUUAGGUAGCGCCUCGUGAAUUCAUCUCCGGGGGUAGAGCACUGUUUCGGCUAGGGGGCCAUCCCGGCUUACCAACCCGAUGCAAACUGCGAAUACCGGAGAAUGUUAUCACGGGAGACACACGGCGGGUGCUAACGUCCGUCGUGAAGAGGGAAACAACCCAGACCGCCAGCUAAGGUCCCAAAGUCAUGGUUAAGUGGGAAACGAUGUGGGAAGGCCCAGACAGCCAGGAUGUUGGCUUAGAAGCAGCCAUCAUUUAAAGAAAGCGUAAUAGCUCACUGGUCGAGUCGGCCUGCGCGGAAGAUGUAACGGGGCUAAACCAUGCACCGAAGCUGCGGCAGCGAACGUAUCACCCAAGACAACUUUGCGGAGUUGACGAUUGACGGAGCGAAGCGACGUCAAAGCGUUCAUUAAAGUCGAGUUGGCUUAGGGAUACGUUCGUUGGGUAGGGGAGCGUUCUGUAAGCCUGUGAAGGUAUGCUGUGAGGCAUGCUGGAGGUAUCAGAAGUGCGAAUGCUGACAUAAGUAACGAUAAAGCGGGUGAAAAGCCCGCUCGCCGGAAGACCAAGGGUUCCUGUCCAACGUUAAUCGGGGCAGGGUGAGUCGACCCCUAAGGCGAGGCCGAAAGGCGUAGUCGAUGGGAAACGGGUUAAUAUUCCCGUACUUGGUGUUACUGCGAAGGGGGGACGGAGAAGGCUAUGUUGGCCGGGCGACGGUU
RNAcentral lists this ribosomal RNA (1159 nucleotides) under Salmonella enterica subsp. enterica serovar Indiana. RNAcentral's name for it is "partial 23S ribosomal RNA". It matches the Rfam family "Bacterial large subunit ribosomal RNA", at positions 426 to 1503 of the family's 2925-position model. The record is from RNAcentral. Lineage: Bacteria; Pseudomonadati; Pseudomonadota; Gammaproteobacteria; Enterobacterales; Enterobacteriaceae.